RNAcentral lists this long non-coding RNA (1037 nucleotides) under Pongo abelii (Sumatran orangutan). Its description in RNAcentral is "lincRNA". The stretch from base 189 to 260 matches the Rfam family "Small nucleolar RNA SNORD45". Lineage: Eukaryota; Metazoa; Chordata; Mammalia; Primates; Hominidae. The record is from RNAcentral.
GGGAAAAGUUCUGCUGAAAACUCUAGGGAUGGUUAGUCGUUUUAGGGAAAUACGGGGAACUAGAUGGAUUCUGGUUUUUAUUUAUCUUCCUUCAAAACAGCUACUAGUAAUCUGCAGAAAAGAUGCAUGGGAAAUAAGCCCGGAAAACUGAGCCCAAAGUGAGGUGCAAAGGUUCUAAAAGGAUCAGUGGUCAAUGAUAUCGUGGCAUGUAUUAGCUGAGUCCAAAGUUGAUGUGAGUUCCAAAAUUAUACUGAGACUUUGGGGGAAAACAAAAGCUCAGCUAUGCUCAUCCAUCAGAUUUCAGUUCCUUCAUCAGUUCCUUGAGUGGCCACCACUUCUACUGUGAUAAGUCACCACUGACCUGCACCACUGCUCUGUUCUUGUCACAGUUACAAGACAUUGGAGGAAACACCAGAGCCCAUACAGGGAUGGUUGAUUGUGAGAAAAGGGAGACGCCAUCUGCCCAUUCAGGAAUGUGUGGUGAGACUCUCUCCUUGGGCUCUGCACACCACCGUGAACAUUUUGUCAGCACGGGUGACUCAUAGCUUACACGGAAAACAGUAGUUUGUCCCUAGCAACCGCACAUCGUCUUUUUCCCAGACAUUUCCAAUUUCUCUGCACUCCUAUGGAGACUGUUAUUUUCUUCUUGCUUCACUCUUUGUGUGACAUAAGACAGAAAUCUACACAGCUCUUCCACACUAUGGGUGUAUAUGGACUGAACCAGAAUAACAGCAAAUAAACGGUGGUGGACCCAGGUACUGGAAAUAGCCAGACCGCUUACCUUAAGGGAAAAUGUACCAGGAAUAACCUUAGUGUCCAGCCAGCUUUUAUGAACUGCUUUUUGGUCUCCAAAGGAUGGAAAUGGUGGUGGGCCAAGCAGCCUCGGGUGAAUGUGGCCUCCUGGUUCUCGAUGCUGAUACUGAACAUGCAGUGAAACCCUGUGAGGGAGCACGAUGGCUGGGAACAGCUGAUUUGCAGAUGAAUGAGAAUAAAUGGGAGAAAGUGGAGCCUUUUCCAGCCAGUGUUCUUUAACAAUG